RNAcentral lists this ribosomal RNA (494 nucleotides) under uncultured bacterium. RNAcentral's name for it is "partial 16S ribosomal RNA". It matches the Rfam family "Bacterial small subunit ribosomal RNA", at positions 28 to 507 of the family's 1533-position model. The record is from RNAcentral.
GACGAACGCUGGCGGCGUGCUUAACACAUGCAAGUCGAACGGUGAAGCGCCUUCCUUUUUGGUGGGUGUGGAUGAGUGGCGAACGGGUGAGUAACACGUGAGUAACCUGCCCCCUUCUUCUGGAUAACCGCAUGAAAGUGUGGCUAAUACGGGAUAUUCUGGUUCUGUCGCAUGAUGGGUCUGGGAAAGAUAUUGUUUCGGUGGGGGAUGGGCUCGCGGCCUAUCAGCUUGUUGGUGGGGUGAUGGCCUACCAAGGCGGUGACGGGUAGCCGGCCUGAGAGGGUGGACGGUCACACUGGGACUGAGACACGGCCCAGACUCCUACGGGAGGCAGCAGUGGGGAAUAUUGCACAAUGGGCGCAAGCCUGAUGCAGCGACGCCGCGUGAGGGAUGGAGGCCUUCGGGUUGUGAACCUCUUUCGCCAGUGAAGCAGGCCUGCCUCGUUUGUGGGUGGGUUGACGGUAGCUGGAGAAGAAGCGCCGGCUAACUACGUG